UGUAGGCAUGUGUCUUAGGCAAAUCCGGGACACUCUAUGCUGAGAACUGAGACGAACCUGUACUUGUACGGGGAAGUGAUAGAUGCCAUGCUCCCAAGAAAAGCUCCUAAGCUUCAGUCAGUAAGGGAUCGUACCCGAAACCGACACAGGUGGUCAGGUCGAGAAGACCAAGGCGCUUGAGAGAACUCUGGUGAAGGAACUAGGCAAAAUAGUACCGUAACUUCGGGAGAAGGUACGCUGUUGAGGGUUAAGGAUUUACUCCGUAAGCCUUCGGCAGCCUCAGAAACUAGGCCGCUGCAACUGUUUAUUAAAAACAUAGCACUCUGCAAACACGAAAGUGGACGUAUAGGGUGUGAUGCCUGCCCGGUGCUGGAAGGUUAAUUGAUGGGGUUAGCUAACGCGAAGCUCUUGAUCGAAGCCCCAGUAAACGGCGGCCGUAACAAUAACGGUCCUAAGGUAGCGAAAUUCCUUGUCGGGUAAGUUCCGACCUGCACGAAUGGCAUAAUGAUGGCGGCGCUGUCUCCACCAGAGACUCAGUGAAAUCGAAAUCGCGGUGAAGAUGCCGUGUACCCGCGGCUAGACGGAAAGACCCCGUGAACCUUUACUGCAGCUUUGCACUGAACUUUGAUCUUACCUGUGUAGGAUAGGUGGGAGGCUUUGAAGCUCGGACGCUAGUUCGAGUGGAGCCAUCCUUGAAAUACCACCCUGGUAAUAUUGAGGUUCUAACCCAGGUCCGUUAUCCGGAUCGGGGACAGUGUAUGGUGGGUAGUUUGACUGGGGCGGUCUCCUCCUAAAGAGUAACGGAGGAGUACGAAGGUGCGCUCAGCGUGGUCGGAAAUCACGCGUAGAGUAUAAAGGCAAAAGCGCGCUUAACUGCGAGACCGACAAGUCGAGCAGGUACGAAAGUAGGUCUUAGUGAUCCGGUGGUUCUGUAUGGAAGGGCCAUCGCUCAACGGAUAAAAGGUACUCUGGGGAUAACAGGCUGAUACCGCCCAAGAGUUCAUAUCGACGGCGGUGUUUGGCACCUCGAUGUCGGCUCAUCUCAUCCUGGGGCUGAAGCAGGUCCCAAGGGUAUGGCUGUUCGCCAUUUAAAGAGGUACGCGAGCUGGGUUUAGAACGUCGUGAGACAGUUCGGUCCCUAUCUACCGUGGGCGUUGGAGACUUGAGAGGAUCUGCUUCUAGUACGAGAGGACCGAAGUGGACGAACCUCUGGUGUUCCGGUUGUCACGCCAGUGGCACUGCCGGGUAGCUAUGUUCGGAAGGGAUAACCGCUGAAAGCAUCUAAGCGGGAAGCCUACCUCAAGAUAAGGUCUCCCUGAGGGUUUAACCCUCCUAAAGAGCCGUUAGAGACCAUGACGUUGAUAGGUUCGGUGUGGAAGUGCAGCGAUGCAUGAAGCUAACGAAUACUAAUUGCUCGUGAGGCUUGACC
Molecule: ribosomal RNA, 1429 nt
Filed under: metagenome
Description: bacterial LSU rRNA
Rfam family: Bacterial large subunit ribosomal RNA
Source: RNAcentral